CCCACUUCCAGCGGCGGCGGCGGCGGCCGAGGGGCUCUGGCUGCUGCUGCUGCUGCUGCUGCCGCUGCCGCCCGGCAUGAAAAGUUACCGCCGCGGCGGGCAGGAUGCGCGGCGCCACGCAUACGGAUUAACUGACCCCUUUGACAAGUUUAUGGAGCUGCCAUCUCUCUGCUUGCUGUACUUUCCAUUUCUGAGAGGAGAAAGUGGUGUAUGAGAUUAGAGGAAAAUGCCUCGGACAAAGCAGAUACAUCCCAGAAAUCUGAGAGACAAAAUUGAAGAAGCACAAAAACAACUUAAUGGAACGGAAGACCAACAGAGAGAAAUCACUGAUGCUGGUACUAGAGGAACCCAAGAUGCAAUUAAGGGUGUGAAAAGAAAAAAGAUUGUGACUGAAAACCAUCUAAAAAAAAUACCAAAAUCGCCUUUGAGAAGCCCCGCCGAAACCAAGGUUAAGCAAAACGUAGACCCUCCGCCGCUAAAAGCUCUUCCGGAUGCCUCCGAACACACCACAGCACAGGAUCACCUACCCGUGCAAAAUGGAAAUCAGUGUACCAAACAAAACGGGGGAGCACUUAGUAGCGAGAUAAGUGCUGAAACAACCAAAUCUGAGACAUCAAUGCAGACAAAGCUCUCGUUGACGCAUCAGUCCUUAGAUUUGGGUAAACAGGCAGCGGAGGAUACUGAUGCAAACCAACGGAACUCACCAGAGAAGAAAUCUCUCUCAAACUCCUCAUCAAGUAAAACAAAGACUGACAGUAAUGAAUGUAUUAAUUUUGUUGAUUGCAGUACGUCAUCCCCGUGUACACGUACUGCAUUCGAUGUCUUAUUAAAAGCUAUGGAGCCUGAACUGAACACCUUAGCACAAGAGUGCCCCCCUUACGGGAUGCAGAUAGAGAAACUGAGACCAAAUAGAACUGUAAGCACCUCUUCUAGUCUCACGUCCAAUACAAUGAGCGUCCAAAAUCAGUCUGCUUUGCCGCAGCGUGAGUUUGCAACUGGACCUCACUAUUACCCGUGUGCGUUAAACAAUGUGCAUGUAGCAACAACAACCAAAACUGGACAAGCACAAGGCCAAUCAGUUUCUCAUUCACAAGACCUUAUUACUAAAACCAGUCAACAAAAUCACCAGGUUGUUAUGUGUCCAAGUUUCACUAGGUCACUGGUGCAACAGCAGAGUCAAGAAAACCCCAAGGUCCAGCAGAUAUACAGCAUAGCAGUAACUUCGUCUGUCGUUCACACCUCAUCUUCCACUGUAACUCAGGUUUUUCCGCAAAGCCAGUUAGUAGCUAGUUCGUCUACACCUUUGUCAAUUAGCACAUCGAGUUCAACGCACUUGUCUAUAGGUCCCAUGUAUAAUUCAGCCCAGAUAGCAUCAGUUGUAAACCAUGGUGUAGAACAAAUAUGUAACCUCUUGAAAGACCAGAAGCCUAAAAAGCUAGGGAAAUACGUCUGUGAGUAUUGCAAUCGGGCCUGUGCCAAGCCCAGCGUUCUCCAAAAGCACAUCCGAUCCCAUACUGGAGAGCGACCGUAUCCUUGUGUGACAUGUGGGUUUUCAUUUAAAACCAAAAGCAAUCUGUACAAGCACAAAAAAUCUCAUGCACAUGCUAUCAAACUUGGACUUGUCCUACAACCAGAUUCGGGUGGCCUCUUCUUAUCUCAUGACUCGGACAAAGCACUUAGCAUUCAUUCAGAUGUGGAAGAAAGCGGUGAAAGCGAAGAUGACGGCACUGCUGAUGAAAGGCAAGAUGACCAAGAACUGGAACCUGCGCAAAUAGUGAAAGUCAUUUCGAGUGCAGAAACGUUGCGGAAAGGAAGCCCCAUUCCAUUAAGUAACCCAGAUUGUAUACCAGGUGACUCUUCCUUACAUGACACAGAACCUCAAGUAAGGGCAGCUUUACCAAAAGUAGUGGUUCAUCCUGUAAAUGUUUCUCCGUUAAGGGCCGAUAGCCCGAAAGUAACAGAACCAGCACCUGAGCUUGCUGCAGCACAGAGAAAAGGAGAUUUUAAAGUGACAGCUCUUCCGUCAACACAUACAGCCUCAUACAAGGAGAAUGACAUAAAGCAACAUCAGAAAGUAGAAAUGGGCCUAUUAGAGGAACAGCUGGGAUCUGCGGUCGGAGCAGUGCACGCUCAGCUCCAGAGACAGCAGGCAACUGAUGGUUCCCAAGACCAGCAAGGAAAAUGUCUUUUGAGCCCUAGAAGUUUAGGUAGUACUGAUUCUGGUUAUUUCUCUCGUUCUGAAAGUGCCGAGCAAACAAUGAGCCCACCAGCUCCUUUCGUAAGAGGAUUGUUGACCUCUGAGAAAGAUCCAAAUAAAAACCUGCCCUGUGUGCCGCGCGCAAGUGGCGUGGUAGCAUCAGUGGUACAGACUGUUUGUGCUGAAAAAAAUCUGAUUCUCUCUGGCCAAAUGCGACCUCCCAUGGCAACAAAAACACUUGAGGAGCGUAUCUCAAAGUUAAUUUCUGAUAAUGAAGCCGUUGUGGAUGACAAACAGUUAGAUAGUGUGAAACCAAGAAGAACAUCUCUUUCGAGAAGAGGCAGCAUAGAUUCACCAAAAUCCUACAUAUUUAAGGACUCUUUCCAGUUUGAUUUAAAGCCCAUGGGAAGAAGAACUAGCUCAAGCUCUGAUAUACCAAAGUCUCCUUUCACACCCACUGAGAAAUCAAAGCAAGUUUUUCUUCUUUCUGUACCAUCCCUUGACUGUUUACCUAUAACACGAAGUAAUUCCAUGCCUACUACCAGUUACUCAGCAGUACCUCCAAAUGUAAUACCUCCCUCUCAUCCCCUUCGAGGAAGUCAGUCGUUUGAUGAUAAAAUUGGCUCUUUAUACGAUGAUGUUUUUGUAUCAGGACCUGCUACUCCACUGAACCAAGGUGGACAUCCUCGGACCCUUGUUAGACAGGCAGCAAUAGAAGAUUCUUCUACUGGCGAAAGCCAAGUUCCUGGACCGGUGCGAUCCGUAGAAGAAAGUUAUCUGGGGUGUAAUGUAUCAAGUGAAUCUUUACUGCAAAGGAGCAAGUCCCUGGCACAGGGAUCAAAUUUAGAAAAAACAAAGAAGUCCCCUCAGGUGCGAGGAACAAUGUUUGAGUGUGAAACCUGCAGAAACCGAUACAGAAAACUGGAAAAUUUUGAAAACCACAAGAAAUUCUAUUGUUCGGAGUUGCAUGGACCUAAAACUAAAGCAGCAAUCCGAGAGCCUGAGCAUAAAACUGUUCCGAACAGUACACAGCCUCAAAUUCUACACUACAGAGUCACUACUUCAACUGGCGUCUGGGAGCAGACACCCCAGAUAAGAAAAAGAAGGAAAAUGAAGAGUGUUGGUGAUGAUGAUGACCCACAGCAAAAUGAUACCAGCAUACCAUCAAAGAACACAGAAAGCCAAAGCAAGCCAGUAAAUUCUUCCAGUCUGCCAAAACACAGUGCAACAACAGUGGUAGGAUCGCAACAGCCAAGCAACCUUCUACUUCAAAGUUCCCAAAUUCAGCUUGUGGCUCGAGGCACAGAUCAGACUACGGAGCCAAAGAUGGGUCCGCUCAUUGAAAAGCAGGCAAGUUCAGCUGUGCAAGAAAAGGUGGAGUUGAAAAGACAAGGGACUGGUAUUUCAGUAAUACAGCACACCAAUUCACUGAGCAGAAACAGCUCAUUUGAGAAAUCAGAGUCGUUUGAAAGAGUAUCACCAGUUUCUUCUCAAGAGCACAACAAGGUUGCAAAGCCCCGCUCUAUGAAUACAGUUGUCAUCCAAGAGGAUAGACAUUCUCAUCUGAAUACUCCCCAGCAUCAUCAACCCCUGUCAUCAGAAGCACCUAGAGGGGAAGUUCAGGGAGGCCAAAUAGCUUCCAGUGAGAGAAGCGCACCGCUUCAGCCGUCGAGACUUGUUCGCCAGCAUAACAUCCAGGUUCCUGAAAUACUGGUCACAGAAGAACCAGACAGGGACCAAGAAAACCAAUGCAGCGAUCAGGAAAAGACAGAGAGGUUUAAUUGGCCACAGCGCAGUGAAACACUGUCAAAAUUGCCAACAGAAAAGCUUCCGCCAAAGAAGAAAAGAAUUCGCUUGGCUGAAAUGGAGCACUCGUCUGCCGAAUCAAGCGUUGACUCCACGCUUUCCAGAAGCCUAAGUCGGGAGAGUAGCUUGUCUCAUGCCUCCAGUUUCUCAGCUUCACUCGAUAAAGAUGAAACUUCAAAGGCUGAGAACCCUUCCAAAGCAGAGCUCGUCAGUAAGUCGUCAGAGUUCCUCAUGAUUCCCGCUGGCUCGCAUGCACUGGCUGUGCCUGGCCCUCAUUACCGGGAAAUGAGACGUGCCGCAUCGGAGCAAAUCAGCUGCACGCAGCCGUCGAUGGAGGUUGUGGACUACAGGAGUAAGUCUUUCGACUGUGGAAGCAUGUCUCCGUCAAAACCUGCCUCGCUCCUAGAGACAGCCGCUCCAAAAGUGUCGUCUGCAAAUGGAGUUACUGGACAUGUGCCUCUGCUAGAAAGGAGGAGGGGACCAUUUGUAAGACAGAUAUCUUUAAAUAUUGCUCCAGAAAGUCAUCAGCCUCAAGCUAAAUCGAAUUCUUCAUUUCAGACAGCUCAUGCUACGGAUGUGCCCACAGUGCCAUUGCACAGGCUGCAGACCUCCGGCAGUUCUUCGGUGGAGUUUCCAUCCAGUACUCAGCCUUCACAGACUCACUCCAGGCCUCACUCGGCAAUUCCAAAUUGUAAUCCCGUUAGCCUGUCUUCAGUUCAGCAGCCUCUAGAUCACGUGUUGAAUAAUCAAGGACAGCCAUCCUCGACGCAUCAGCCUUCCCAGACAUCGACUAAAACAUCAGCCCAUGGGGCACAACUGAGCACAUAUGCGCUCUCUUGUCAUCCUGAUGAAAAAAAGGAUUGUUUUGCUCCGAAGUAUCAACUUCAAGUUAAAACAUUACAUAUAGGUCAGCCAUACUCUUCUAAAUUGCUAAAAAAUACUUUGUCAGCUCAGGCUACUCAGGGUCAAGUUGGGGUGGACCAGAAUGCAUCCUCCUUUGAAUUGCAGACUAAACUGUCUGACAUGUCUAAUCCGUACUCUGUGCCUCCUCUGAAGCAAAUUGUCCCUAAUAACUGCAGCAGUCAAAUUCAUCCGAUUCCUCCUUUCGUGGUUCCCGUCCGCAUUCACAGCAGCGUGCCAUCCUAUGGCUUUGCAACUGUUACGCCCCUCCCUCACAUUUUGGUGACCCAGGAUCAGGUAAAUCAAUCUGUUUGCAAAACAAAUGUUGCGACGGUGCCAACGCUUGAAGGCAAAACUCAGCUGCCAAAAUCUCACAAAGAUCAUCAGAGGACUUUGCCAAAUUCAUUUGAAUUUGAAAAUUCACUACCGGAAAGCGGAACCAGAAAUUCACCUUUGUCAAGCUCUUUGAAUAUUAUUCAGAAAGUGCCAGUUAGCGGACUCUUCCCUCAACAAGAAGCUACAGCUUCAAGUAAACGAAUGCUUUCCCCAGCUAACAGUUUAGAUAUUGCCAUGGAAAAACAGCAAAAACGUGUGAAAGAUGAGAGUGGAGCUGCCUGCAUGACAGAUGCUAGACCAUUGCAUUCACUGAACGUUAGAUCAAAUGACCCUACUAGUAAGCAGAAGAAACCAGUUUUGGUAAGACAGGUUUGCACCACAGAGCCCCUUGAAAAUCACCUCUUGGAUCCUGAUGGUGUUGCCCAGCAUGAAAAAAGCAGCAAAGCUAGUACUUCAGACCUGGGGCUGCCUGACCGUCAUUCAUCUGACACUGGGGUUUCAGAAACCCUAAAGGAGUCACCAGAAUCUGAAGACCUGAAGUCUUCGGCAUCACCGGUGUUUGUAGUUAGAAAACCGUCUGAAUUGUCUCCCGUGAAUAAUCAGAGUUCUCUUCUCAAGGCUGUAAGUAGCAGCCAAGAAAGAAGGUCCCCAGGUAGCAGUAAUGAGAGCAAGCACAUCAGUAGCCAGGGCCAAGCAAAGCCUGUGACUACCUUGGCCGCGAUGAAUGCGGGAGAAAUGCAGAGGUUGUCGUUUCCAAGCCUCAAGACCUCAACGAGUUUUACCUGGUGUUACCUCUUGAAGAGAAAACCAUUGCAUCUGCUGCAAAACGAUCAGAAAAUCUCAGCCUAUUCUACCUGGACCAUUAGCCCCAACAAUCCCAAUCCACUUGGUUUGUCGACAAAGGUGGCUCUCUCCCUCCUCAAUUCAAAACAAAAAGUUGAAAAACCACUGUACACUCAAGCCAGAACUACUCAUCCCAGAUCCGAUGUAUUGGUGUAUUCAAGCAAGUGGAAGAACAGCUUAACCAAGCGAGCAUUAAAUAGAAAAAAAUUGACUGCAACUGAAUUCAGCAAUAAGGAAAACUCUGAAUCAAGCACUGAGCAUGAUAAAGAAAACUCCUUUGUCAAAACUGAACCAAGAAGAAUUAAAAUAUUUGAUGGAGGGUACAAAUCAAAUGAAGACUAUGUGUAUGUUCGGGGGAGAGGGAGAGGGAAGUACAUCUGUGAAGAAUGUGGAAUACGUUGCAAGAAGCCCAGCAUGCUGAAGAAGCAUAUUCGCACACACACCGAUGUCCGUCCUUACCAUUGCAAUUACUGCAACUUUUCCUUCAAAACUAAAGGAAAUUUAACAAAACAUAUGAAGUCAAAGGCACAUAGCAAGAAAUGCAUGGAUUUGGGAGUCUCGGUAGGCUUAAUAGAUGACCAGGAUGGAGAAGAAGAAUUCGGUGAGAAGCAAAGAUUUGGCUAUGACCGGUCAGGAUAUGAUGUGGAGGAGUCUGAUGGUGCGGAUGAAGAUGAAAAUGACAAUGAAGACGAUGAUGAAGACAGUCAGGCUGAGUCAGUCCUAUCCACAACCCCCUCGGUGACGGCCAGCCCCCAGCAUCACCCCUCUCGACAUGGCCUGCAGGACACCCCUGGUGCUGAUGAAGACAUCAGGCUUCCAGACUGUUUUUCUGGGGUUCACACGGACUCUAUGGAUGGUCUGCCAAAAGCGCUGCUGACGAAGAUGACCGUCCUUAGCGCAGUCCAGUCGGUUAGCAGGACCUCCAGGUCACCAGCAGAAUUCACCCAUCAGGAAGCACAUGAGGAUAAAGCCCAGGAGAGAGGAGCGGGUCCCCACAGUGCUGGGGAUGUUGCUCCUACAUCUCCAGGUCGCCAGAUGUCUGUGGACUACCCCGAUCCAGAAGUAGCCUUGGGCCACUCCUUACUAUCAACUGCAGCUCUUGCAAAGAGCACGCCCUCCGUCAGCUCCCCCUCCUCGCCGGUGGACCGCAGCAUGCCGACGACAGCGCCGUCCUCCUACGCCGAAAUCCCAGAGGAGAAGCUGGCCGGGUGCCCGCAGCAGGCCACCGAGCUGAGGGCUCCCCAGACUCACCUCUUCAGCCACCUCCCCCUCCAUUCCCAGCGGCAAGCCAAGGCACCCUAUGGCACGCCGGCACCGCUCGGGGGGAUUCAGGUGGUCCCCGCCGGCCUGGCCACCUACUCCACCUUCGUUCCCAUCCAGGCGGGGCCGGUGCAGCUCACUAUCCCUGCCGUGAGCGUGAUCCACAGAACUACCAGCGCCCUCGGCGAGACGGGCGGCCCGGCCGCCGGCGCUGCCGCCGCCCCCAAUCCCGUGGGAAUCGCCGAGGUGAACAGCGUCGUGCCCUGCAUUCCCAUCGGCCAGGUGAGCGUGCCGGGCAUCCAGGGCCUCGGGGCGCCCAGCCUGCAUCCUCUGCCGCCGCUGGGCAUGGAGACGGUAAACAUCUUGGGCCUGGCGAACGCAAACAUCGCCCCGCAGAUGCGGCCUCCGGGAAUUACCCUCAACGCCGUGGGCCUCCAGGUUUUGGCGGCUGGCGCGGCCCCGCAGGGCAGCCCCAGCCCGCAGGCCCACAUUCCCAGCUUGCAGAUACUGAACAUCGCCCUGCCCACCCUCAUCCCCUCCGUCAGCCCCCUGGGCACCGAGGGGCAAGGAGCCUCCGAGGUGCCCGCCUCAGGCAGCGAGGCCCAGCUGGAGCCAGCACCCAUUGGCUUCCCCACUGCCGAGGUCGGCCAGGCCGGCAGGGCCGCUUCUCCGUCUCCUCCUCCUCCUCCUCCUCCUCCUCCUCAGCGGUACGGUGGGAAGAGCCAUCCCGAGCCCGCCCCACCGCUGACCGACAGCCCGGGGAAAGCGGAUCCUGAAAAGACUGACCUGGCGAACCCGGCCAAGCCAAAGCGCGAUGUCCCUUCCCUCCCAGUGAAGAGGGCCGCCCCGGCAGAGCCCCGCUCCAAGGCGAAUCCCGAGGCGUUAACCAAGUCCUCCCCGGUCCACCGAACUGUUUCCCCGGACAGACAGGUGUUUUGAAGACAUCAGGGUGAAGAGGUGGAAGCAGUAUCUUGGAGAAUAAGAAUGACAAGACAACAGAUAUGUCAUAAAGAGGAAUGUUAAGACAUGUGUCAUUUGUGUUACAGAGCAAGAGCUCACACACCUAAUGCUGAUUAAUUCUGCUGGACUGGGUAACUGGCUCCCCUGUGGAUAUCCUGUUUUCCUGUGAAUCAUCGUUCUUCCUUGAGACAUCCUCCAACUCAGAUCAAAGAUCCAGAAUGUAUUAGAUAUGAAGACAUCAGACAGCUCAAACAUAUUAGAAAAGACACACACAAAGAAAAGCAUCCCAGUUUCUCCCUCCUGUCCUGCUGAAAAUUGGCAUGGUGAACACAAUCCUAAGCAAUAAAAGAAACAGCAGGCAGGAAAAAAAAAGGAGAAAAAAAAAAAGAGAGGCUUUGGAAAUCAUUUAGUUUACACAGAAUCUCCUACAAAUUACCCUUUCGAAGUAUUUGCACUUUUGUACUUACUUAGUUCUCCCUUGCAGUUGGAAGCUCUUCAGGCUAGAUCCUCAUCUGAUGGAAGAUGACAUCCGUAAGCUUCAGCAGAGCUGCACCGACUGCGCAGCGGAGCACUUGGUACUAUCCAUUUAAGUAUUGAGCCUUGCCUACAAACACGCAAAUUAAAGGAACAUGAAAACACAUGAUCUGUUUUUUUCACGUUUAUGCAGUCUGUUGUGUUCUUGAUGGUUUUAUUCGAUUUUCCAUUUUUCCAUACGAACAACUGAAAAGAUUCUAUACCAGUGAAGUGCCAAAACCUAAGGUCGUGAGGUCAAACUAGAUUAUCUGAGAGUAGUCUUUUCUCCCCUUACAAUCUUUGAACGCAGGUUUUAUCUGAUAAAGCAGUUAAAGCUGAAACCAUGACAUGUCUUCAUUUCAGCAGCUUUUGAUCUUGAAGAUUGCACAAAUAAUUAGUCUUUUAAGAUUCUGAACUUUUUUUAAAAAUAGAUUUUUAAACUCUCCUUUUAAUGGGUGUUUUUUAAUCCUUAUGUUUAAGUGUAAGAGCCGUGUUUGAUCCAAGACAACAGACAAUGUGUUUAAAUAGUUGGAGAGACCAUUUUUAUGGAAGUGUUUGAACAAUAUAUUGUGUUUUUCAAGAAGUUGUUCCUCCAGUCAGUGGAAAUAGCUCAAUGAAGGACUAAAGGACUGUCCUUUUUCUGUCAUUAAGCUCAUAUAAAAGGAAGACAAAAUGUGCUGCUCUUACAUCUUAGAGUGGAUUGUAUUGGGCUUUUAGUCCUACACUUUUCUUGUAUUAGCCUCUGUGCUUGGAGGCGAAAAGAAACACUUUUAACCUUACGCACUGUGAACACUCGCUGGAAGGCAAUGGAGGGAAGAAUACCCAGCAGGAAUACACUCUGCAAAUACUCAGCAAAAUCAUUAGAUCCGCAUAUUCUUAAUCAAUGAGAAUUAAGGGUGUUGUUUUUAAUCCAGACUAUAGUUUGUCCGAGUCCUUAGGUGGGGUUCAGCUGUUGAUGUUUUCUUCGAGGAAAAAUGUCAGCAAGGUCUGAUGCCGAGUUGUUCUCUGCCCCCCCAAAAAACCCCGGUGUAGGCGUAUCAGCAUGCGGCACGGUUGUGAGAGGCACGUGAACUCAGACCAGAGUUUGCCCCUCGCUGCAAUGUCCCUGGUUGGGGCAGCUGUCAGGGCCACUGCAACCAUCCGAGGAUGGCGGGUCUGGGUUUGAAGGAAGAAGGGCCAAAUAACAUGAAAAAGAUUCUCCUUCUGCAUAGAGACAGAAACCUCAUUGUCCAGUCCUGAGAAGAAAUGGAUAAUCUUUUCAUUUUUCAUAAUCUAUGGUAUUUCUGUUGUUUUCGUGACCUUCUGCCUUUAGUUGGACCAUGUAAUUAGCAAUGCAUCACAAAUGACUGGUAACAUCGUUUUCCAACAUUCGAGAGAAAGAGGAGCGGGCAGUUGCUGGUCUGUCCAAUCUGGAAAGCAGGUUUUAGGUGGCAGGUAAGGAUGCCAGAACGAGUGGUUGAAACUCUGCUGGGCAUGUAGGAUAUUAUACCUGAUCCUCUGCCUCACCUGAUGCUGUCACUUCAUCCAGGGCAGUGGUGAGGCAGCAGAGGACUCAUGGCUUUUUAACCAGGUGCCAGCUAGUGCCUUGAAAGAGUUCAAACUCCUACUUCAUCCUAUUAGGGACCAUUUAUUGAGCACAUUUUGUGUUUUGUGUGUGUACGAUAAUGCAAUUUUUGUCAGCCCCAUGUUGGAGUGCUGACCAGACUGUAAGCUGUCUGCAUAAUGAUGGUGCCAAACUGGGGGGAAAUAGAGCUCAAUCUAGGUUUGUGCACGUCUCUCUAGGAAUUAUCUUGUGACUUUCUGGCACUGGCAUAAAAAAGGGAGCUGUCUGGGAAGCAGUUGGACUUUGGUGCUUUGGAGGGUGAGGGAGAAUACUUUUAAAAUAAUUGUUUGGGCCAGAAAAUUAAGACAAAGCCUGGCCUCAGUGUUGUCAGGAGCAACCUCCUACUGCCUUCAGGAGGGCCAGGAUUUGACUCAUGGAUUUUUAAGGCAUGGGUUUUCCUGGCAUGAUGGGGCUUGCUGUUAAUGACACCGGUAAGUGGUUUUUUGUGUUUUUUUUUUUUUAACCUGGCAUUGCUCCUUCAAGCAAAUUAAAGUCGAUACAUUUGCAUUUCUACAUGUCAUUAACCCAGACACCUACUGCAGGGCCUAAAGCUCGUGUCUGCUGGCACGACUAAAUCCUACUAAUGCGCUUUUCCUAAUGCACUGAGGGAAUCUGGAGUCUCUCCUUUUGAAGCUGACUUGCUAUUUUGACUAAUUGCUUCUAGUAACAGUUAAUAGCAUUUUGCAAAGGCACUUCAUCUGCUGACAGCAGAUUGAUGUAAGGAAGGGACACAGUUCACGUUUCCAAAGGGAGCAUCGGGAAACCCAUUACCAGCUUCAUUAAUCUGUUAAUAAUAAAAUUAAAGUACA
This is an RNA transcript of Chroicocephalus ridibundus (black-headed gull), 11227 nucleotides long. It is a transcript of the gene named HIVEP zinc finger 1, with no coding region annotated. The transcript is spliced from 11 exons. The record is from RefSeq and is a predicted model, not a curated record. Lineage: Eukaryota; Metazoa; Chordata; Aves; Charadriiformes; Laridae.